Molecule: non-coding RNA, 752 nt
Organism: Delphinapterus leucas (beluga whale)
Lineage: Eukaryota; Metazoa; Chordata; Mammalia; Artiodactyla; Monodontidae
Source: RefSeq, a predicted model, not a curated record
CUGGGCCUGAAGUCUUUGAUCCUGACUCGGGGAUUCCACAGACCUGCAGCCACCCCCGCCAGCAGCAGCCCCAGUGCCAUCCGUGUAAGGGGCUGGUUCCUCCAUGAAGCAGCUGAGCGGCCUUCCAGGCCCUGAGUCUUCAUACGCAGUUCUAGAAGGGGAAGACCACAGCCCACAUCACAAUACCGGCUGAAGACCAAGAAGCACCCUUAUUUUUCUUGCAGUGUAUUUGUUGAAGACACCAGGUUGUCUGCUACAGUCUACAGGGUGCCCCCCUCUGGAUGGAGCUUAUCCCCGGGGCUGUGCAACCCAUUCCCGUCCCCUGGACCUCCAAGAUUUAUAAUUCUUUACUGAUGCUCUUUGGCCAGCGGGAACCUCUGUAAAUUGGAUCCUGAGCCUUUGGGGCACUACCCCACUAGUUCUGACAGCUUCCUUUACAAACGAGGAAACUGGAUCCCAGUGUUAUCCCAAGACUGCACCUCAAGUAUUCAACGCAUUGAAAAGGUGUGAAGGAAACUUUCAUACAGUGCGAGAGCCUGGGCAGCAGAGAACUCAGUGGGCAUCGCUGCAGUGAUACGUACCCUUCAUUUUCUAACAGCCCUCUGCAGUCUACCACGGACCCUCCAGUGCCUAUUCUGUCUCGUGUCUGUAAACUGACUAAAAAGAAAAGAACAUCCUGCAUUAAAAUCCAGUGGUAUUUUAUACAACUGUAACACAGUGAGCCAUUGCAAAUGUGUAAUUUAUGUAUGAUA